This 719-nucleotide ribosomal RNA is filed under the name Streptosporangium sp. RNAcentral describes it as "bacterial SSU rRNA". It matches the Rfam family "Bacterial small subunit ribosomal RNA", at positions 87 to 824 of the family's 1533-position model. The record is from RNAcentral. Lineage: Bacteria; Bacillati; Actinomycetota; Actinomycetes; Streptosporangiales; Streptosporangiaceae.
GUACUCGAGCGGCGAACGGGUGAGUAACACGUGAGUAACCUGCCCCUGACUCUGGGAUAAGCCCGGGAAACUGGGUCUAAUACCGGAUACGACCACUUCUCGCAUGGGAUGGUGGUGGAAAGUUUUUCGGUCGGGGAUGGACUCGCGGCCUAUCAGCUUGUUGGUGGGGUAAUGGCCUACCAAGGCGACGACGGGUAGCCGGCCUGAGAGGGCGACCGGCCACACUGGGACUGAGACACGGCCCAGACUCCUACGGGAGGCAGCAGUGGGGAAUAUUGCGCAAUGGGCGAAAGCCUGACGCAGCGACGCCGCGUGGGGGAUGACGGCCUUCGGGUUGUAAACCUCUUUCAGCAGGGACGAAGUUGACGUGUACCUGCAGAAGAAGCGCCGGCUAACUACGUGCCAGCAGCCGCGGUAAUACGUAGGGCGCAAGCGUUGUCCGGAAUUAUUGGGCGUAAAGAGCUCGUAGGUGGCUUGUCACGUCGGGUGUGAAAGCUUGGGGCUUAACUCCAGGUCUGCAUUCGAUACGGGCUGGCUAGAGGUAGGUAGGGGAGAACGGAAUUCCUGGUGUAGCGGUGAAAUGCGCAGAUAUCAGGAGGAACACCGGUGGCGAAGGCGGUUCUCUGGGCCUUACCUGACGCUGAGGAGCGAAAGCGUGGGGAGCGAACAGGAUUAGAUACCCUGGUAGUCCACGCUGUAAACGUUGGGCGCUAGGUGUG